Long non-coding RNA from Astyanax mexicanus (Mexican tetra), 328 nucleotides. RefSeq lists it as uncharacterized. The transcript has 2 exons. NCBI's taxonomy places the organism in Eukaryota, Metazoa, Chordata, Actinopteri, Characiformes, Acestrorhamphidae. The record is from RefSeq and is a predicted model, not a curated record.
UAAGUCAUGCUGCUUCUCCAUCAGCAGCCGGAGUCUGAGAGAGAGAGAGAGAGAGAGAGAGAGAGAGUACAGAAGGUCAUGCUGUUUCUCCAUCAGCAGCCGGAGUCUGAGAGAGAGAGAGAGAGUACAGUAAAUCAUGCUGCUGUUUCUCCAUCAGCAGCCGGAGUCUGAGAGAGAGAGAGAGAGAGAGAGAGAGAGUACAGUAGAUCAUGCUGUUUCUCCAUCAGCAGCCGGAGUCUGAGAGAGAGAGUACAGUAGGUCAUGAUGCUGUUUUUCCAUCAGCAGCCGGAGUCUGAGAGAGAGAGAGAGAGAGAGAGAGAGAGAGAGA